UACGUAGGGGGCAAGCGUUGUCCGGAUUUAUUGGGCGUAAAGAGCGUGUAGGCGGCCAAGCAGGUCCGCUGUGAAAACUCGAGGCUCAACCUCGAGACGUCGGUGGAAACCGUUUGGCUAGAGUCCGGAAGAGGAGAGUGGAAUUCCCGGUGUAGCGGUGAAAUGCGCAGAUAUCGGGAAGAACACCCGUGGCGAAGGCGGCACUCUGGGACGGUACUGACGCUGAGACGCGAAAGCGUGGGGAGCGAACAGG
This 253-nucleotide ribosomal RNA is filed under the name uncultured bacterium. RNAcentral describes it as "partial 16S ribosomal RNA". It matches the Rfam family "Bacterial small subunit ribosomal RNA", at positions 524 to 776 of the family's 1533-position model. The record is from RNAcentral.